This 464-nucleotide ribosomal RNA is filed under the name uncultured bacterium. RNAcentral describes it as "partial 16S ribosomal RNA". It matches the Rfam family "Bacterial small subunit ribosomal RNA", at positions 28 to 507 of the family's 1533-position model. The record is from RNAcentral.
GACGAACGCUGGCGGCGUGCCUAACACAUGCAAGUCGAGCGAAUGAAGUUCCUUCGGGACUGGAUUUAGCGGCGGACGGGUGAGUAACACGUGGGCAACCUGCCUCAUAGAGGGGAAUAGCCUUCCGAAAGGGAGAUUAAUACCGCAUAAGAUUGUAGUAUCGCAUGAUACAGCAAUUAAAGGAGCAAUCCGCUAUGAGAUGGGGCGGCGGCGCCUUAGCUAGUUGGGGAGGUAACGGCCCACCAAGGCGACGAGGCGUAGCCGACGUGAGAGGGUGAUCGGCCACAUUGGGACUGAGACACGGCCGAGACUCCUACGGGAGGCAGCAGGGGGGAAUAUUGCACAAUGGGGGAAACCCUGAUGCAGCAACGCCGCGUGAGUGAUGACGGCCUUCGGGUUGUAAAGCUCUGUCGUCAGGGACGAUAAUGACGGUACCUGAGGAGGAAGCCACGGCUAACUACGUG